This 446-nucleotide ribosomal RNA is filed under the name uncultured bacterium. Its description in RNAcentral is "partial 16S ribosomal RNA". It matches the Rfam family "Bacterial small subunit ribosomal RNA", at positions 338 to 795 of the family's 1533-position model. The record is from RNAcentral.
CCUACGGGCGACAGCAGUCGAGAAUCAUUCACAAUGGGGGAAACCCUGAUGGUGCGACGCCGCGUGGGGGAAUGAAGGUCUUCGGAUUGUAAACCCCUGUCAUGUGGGAGCAAAUUAAAAAGAUCGUACCACAAGAGGCAGAGACGGCUAACUCUGUGCCAGCAGCCGCGGUAAGACAGAGGUCUCAAGCGUUGUUCGGAAUCACUGGGCGUAAAGCGUGCGGAGGCUGUUUCGUAAGUCGUGUUUGAAAGGCGCGGGCUCAACCCGCGGACGGCACAUGAUACUGCGAGACUAGGGUAAGGGAGGGGGAACCGGAAUUCUCGGUGUAGCAGUGAAAUGCGUAGAUAUCGAGAGGAACACUCGUGGCGCGGGCGGGUUCCUGGACAUUAACUGACGCUGAGGCACGAAGGCCAGGGGAGCGAAAGGGAUUAGAUACCCGAGUAGUC